AUUGAACGCUGGCGGCAUGCUUUACACAUGCAAGUCGAACGGUAACAGGGUGCUUGCACCGCUGACGAGUGGCGAACGGGUGAGUAAUGCGUCGGAACGUGCCGAGUAGUGGGGGAUAACGCAGCGAAAGGUGUGCUAAUACCGCAUACGUACUGAGGUAGAAAGUGGGGGACCUUCGGGCCUCACGCUAUUCGAGCGGCCGACGUCUGAUUAGCUAGUAGGGGAGGUAAAGGCUCACCUAGGCGACGAUCAGUAGCGGGUCUGAGAGGAUGAUCCGCAACACUGGGUCUGAGACACGGUCCAGACUCGUGCGGUGGGCAGCAGUGGGGAAUUUUGGACAAUGGGCGAAAGCCUGAUCCAGCCAUGCAGCGUGUCUGAAGAAGGCCUUCGGGUUGUAAAGGACUUUUGUCAGGGAGGAAAUCCCUAGUGCUAAUAACACUGGGGGAUGACAGUACCUGAAGAAUAAGCACCGGCUAACUACGUGCCAGCCGCCGCAGUAA
This 500-nucleotide ribosomal RNA is filed under the name uncultured bacterium. RNAcentral describes it as "partial 16S ribosomal RNA". It matches the Rfam family "Bacterial small subunit ribosomal RNA", at positions 30 to 523 of the family's 1533-position model. The record is from RNAcentral.